This 595-nucleotide ribosomal RNA is filed under the name uncultured Geobacteraceae bacterium. RNAcentral's name for it is "partial 16S ribosomal RNA". It matches the Rfam family "Bacterial small subunit ribosomal RNA", at positions 335 to 920 of the family's 1533-position model. Lineage: Bacteria; Pseudomonadati; Thermodesulfobacteriota; Desulfuromonadia; Geobacterales; Geobacteraceae. The record is from RNAcentral.
ACUCCKACGGGAGGCAGCMGUGGGGAAUUUUGCGCARUGGGGGAAACCCUGACGCAGCAACGCCGCGYGAGUGAUGAAGGCCUUCGGGUCGUAAAGCUCUGACAGGGGGGAAGAACCGGCMGGAUGSUAAUACCAUCCCGCCCUGACGGUMCCCUCAAAGGAAGCACCGGCUAACUCCGUGCCAGCAGCCGCGGUAAUACGGAGGGUGCAAGCGUUGUUCGGAAUUAUUGGGCGUAAAGCGCGUGUAGGCGGUUUGUUAAGUCUGAUGUGAAAGCYYUGGGCUCAACCCGGGAAGUGCAUUGGAAACUGGYAGACUUGAAUACGGGAGAGGGUAGUGGAAUUCCUAKUGUARGARUGAAAKCCGUAKAUAUUAKGAGGAACACCGGUGGCGAARGCGGCUACSUGSYCCGAUAUUGACGCUSAGACGCGAAAGCGUGGGGAGCAAACAGGAUUAGAUACCCUGGUAGUCCACGCCGUAMACGAUGAGAACUAGGUGUUGCGGGUAUUGACCCCUGCAGUGCCGCAKCUMACGCAUUAAGUUCUCCGCCUGGGAAGUACSGUCGCAAGACUAARACUCAAAGGAAUUGACKGAAKG